AGAGUUUGAUCAUGGCUCAGAUUGAACGCUGGCGGCAGGCCUAACACAUGCAAGUCGAACGGUAACAGGAAGCAGCUUGCUGCUUCGCUGACGAGUGGCGGACGGGUGAGUAAUGUCUGGGAAACUGCCUGAUGGAGGGGGAUAACUACUGGAAACGGUGGCUAAUACCGCAUAACGUCGCAAGACCAAAGAGGGGGACCUUCGGGCCUCUUGCCAUCAGAUGUGCCCAGAUGGGAUUAGCUAGUUGGUGAGGUAACGGCUCACCAAGGCGACGAUCCCUAGCUGGUCUGAGAGGAUGACCAGCCACACUGGAACUGAGACACGGUCCAGACUCCUACGGGAGGCAGCAGUGGGGAAUAUUGCACAAUGGGCGCAAGCCUGAUGCAGCCAUGCCGCGUGUAUGAAGAAGGCCUUCGGGUUGUAAAGUACUUUCAGCGGGGAGGAAGGUGUUGUGGUUAAUAACCGCAGCAAUUGACGUUACCCGCAGAAGAAGCACCGGCUAACUCCGUGCCAGCAGCCGCGGUAAUACGGAGGGUGCAAGCGUUAAUCGGAAUUACUGGGCGUAAAGCGCACGCAGGCGGUCUGUCAAGUCGGAUGUGAAAUCCCCGGGCUCAACCUGGGAACUGCAUUCGAAACUGGCAGGCUUGAGUCUUGUAGAGGGGGGUAGAAUUCCAGGUGUAGCGGUGAAAUGCGUAGAGAUCUGGAGGAAUACCGGUGGCGAAGGCGGCCCCCUGGACAAAGACUGACGCUCAGGUGCGAAAGCGUGGGGAGCAAACAGGAUUAGAUACCCUGGUAGUCCACGCCGUAAACGAUGUCUACUUGGAGGUUGUGCCCUUGAGGCGUGGCUUCCGGAGCUAACGCGUUAAGUAGACCGCCUGGGGAGUACGGCCGCAAGGUUAAAACUCAAAUGAAUUGACGGGGGCCCGCACAAGCGGUGGAGCAUGUGGUUUAAUUCGAUGCAACGCGAAGAACCUUACCUGGUCUUGACAUCCACAGAACUUUCCAGAGAUGGAUUGGUGCCUUCGGGAACUGUGAGACAGGUGCUGCAUGGCUGUCGUCAGCUCGUGUUGUGAAAUGUUGGGUUAAGUCCCGCAACGAGCGCAACCCUUAUCCUUUGUUGCCAGCGGUUAGGCCGGGAACUCAAAGGAAACUGCCAGUGAUAAACUGGAGGAAGGUGGGGAUGACGUCAAGUCAUCAUGGCCCUUACGACCAGGGCUACACACGUGCUACAAUGGCGCAUACAAAGAGAAGCGACCUCGCGAGAGCAAGCGGACCUCAUAAAGUGCGUCGUAGUCCGGAUUGGAGUCUGCAACUCGACUCCAUGAAGUCGGAAUCGCUAGUAAUCGUGGAUCAGAAUGCCACGGUGAAUACGUUCCCGGGCCUUGUACACACCGCCCGUCACACCAUGGGAGUGGGUUGCAAAAGAAGUAGGUAGCUUAACCUUCGGGAGGGCGCUUACCACUUUGUGAUUCAUGACUGGGGUGAAGUCGUAACAAGGUAACCGUAGGGGAACCUGCGGUUGGAUCACCU
RNAcentral lists this ribosomal RNA (1530 nucleotides) under Salmonella enterica subsp. enterica serovar Typhimurium. RNAcentral describes it as "bacterial SSU rRNA". It matches the Rfam family "Bacterial small subunit ribosomal RNA". RNAcentral also lists the same sequence under 1 other name. Lineage: Bacteria; Pseudomonadati; Pseudomonadota; Gammaproteobacteria; Enterobacterales; Enterobacteriaceae. The record is from RNAcentral.